Molecule: long non-coding RNA, 3533 nt
Filed under: Homo sapiens (human)
Lineage: Eukaryota; Metazoa; Chordata; Mammalia; Primates; Hominidae
Description: non-protein coding lnc-SHC3-6:2
Source: RNAcentral
AUAUAAUUUUUUAACCAAAGUGCAGUCUUUACCCUGUCAGGGCCCUGCCUUCACCUCUGCCAGGACUAUCUUCCAUGUCAAGUUUAGACCCGUGUCAUUUUCAAAGCUAAUAAUGGUUCCCCCAUACUUUAGGCAGCAUUUAGAUAUUUGGAUUUGGGAUGGCCUUUUAUGUUUUAACUACAGUGUUAGAAAUCAGAGCCCUUGGAACCACUGGGAUCAGAGGGCAGCAGCAGAAGGCGCCCUUGGUCCUCUUUGAGGGGCCCAGGGCUCUGGAGAGGGCCCCCGUUCCUAGCAGCCACAGUGGCCUGUUGGCACGCAUGUGUGUGUUCCAGCUGCUCUGUGACAUUUCCCUUUGUUUCAGACUCUUGAAAGGCCACGGCCGUCGUGGGAAUUAGUUGACCUUGUGUGUUGGGCCACCCUUGCUGGACAGGACAAGGUGGUGCUAUCAACUCCCUGUGCUCUGAGGUCCUUCGCAUGUUAGAUGAGGCAGCUUCACCAGAAACUAUCCAUGUCUCUUCUGUUAUCUGGGAUAAUUCCACGUGCCUUUACAACACAGCUGUCUGGUUACCUGGGGUCUGGAAAUGCCCUCGGUGCCUCAGUGGUGCCUUCCCACAGGCCCCCCAUGGAGCCAGGCGAUGCCUACAGAUGCCUCAGUGGUACUUUCUCAGGUCCCUUUGCAGAGAAGAGGUUCAGGAUUCCUGCCCACAUUGAUAAGGCGGCUUGGCCAGUAAGUGGCAGGCAUGAACAGGUGCAUUCCAGAAGCGCUGGGGCUGGUCCAGUGCCCUGAGUGGUCUAGAGCAUACCAGAGUGAAACGUUAGGCUGCGUCGGCCUGGUGACUGUCAGGGAGAUGAGGACUCAGAGAAGGGAGCUGUCAGAAUUGCUACCUAUGUGGCAGGGGUCUCACUCUCUCCUCCCUCCUCUUGGGGCCCCUGGCUACUCUGUGACUUCAACAGAGGACAGAAAGGAUGACCAACAAGGCCUCAGGGCAUACCCCCAGCUGCACUGUCCUUGUCCCCAGAAGGGUCCCCAGAGUCUGGGAGGGAGGAGGGGCCAUGGCCAGGAUUAGAAAAGACCGUGCCCCAAGGAGAGAGCACAGAGAUGGGCCAGGGAAGCAGUGGGAUCCUCGGGAAAAGAGGCUGGGAGCAGGUGUCCGGGUGAGGCCCGGGCAGCGGGUACAGGCAGGGACAAGCCAGGAGUCCCAUCAUGGAAGACAUGAUGGCCAGCGGCCAGCACUGUGUGCAGAGAAUGGCCCCUCUGGGGAUGUGCCCGCUGCCCCAUUAGUUGCAGGAAGGCCACCUGGAUGUGAGUUUGGGAGAUGGGCUGGCCCCGAGGCAGCCAGCCCUGAGGUCAGAGUGGGCCACAUGCAUGGGGAUGCCGGGAGGACACAGAGGAGUGCUGCAGGAGAUGGCAGUGGGGGCACUUUCCAGGAUGGGCCCGAGCAACUCAGUCACUGGGUGGAUGUCUCACCACCCCUCCAGGCCUUCCUCAGGGCGAGGCCACUGCCCAGAGGGCACCUGGUUUGUCGCAGAGUAGAAUCAGCUCCAUAUUUUGUAAUCACAUCCACGAAGCUCUGAAGCCAUGGUGGUCCUGGCACCAGCUGGCUCCGUUAGAGGCUUGGGGUGGGAGUGAGCAGGUGGGAGGUGCCCCAGUGACAGGCUGAGUGCUGGAGCCCAGGCUGCCAACAGCCUCCCCAGACUCCUGAGUUGAUGUAAUAAACCCAGCCCUGGUGAAUAAACCUGGCCCUUGCUUAUACCAAGGUGAUCAGUCUUCUCACGACAGUCCUAGCUGUAGGAGAAAGAUCAUUACCUACGGCAUCUGCCACAGCAGUUAAUUUGCCUUCAACUUAAGCUAGUUGCAGUGACAGGAAGGGCCAGGGGGAAAUAUCUGUCCUCAGGACCUCUACCCUAGAUCCUUGUAAGCCACAACAACUUCCCUUCUUUGAGGGCGCGACCAGUGUCACCUGGCUCGCCACUGGGAAGAGCCAAGGCACAUCCAGGUUGGUGGCUGCUGAGCCCCACAGCAUCAGACCAGCCUCUUGUCCCCACCCCACAGAGGCCAAGGGGGUGAUCUGGGAGUAGCACCCCAGCCUGGCCGCUCUCUUGAGGUAACAGGGUUGGAUGGUUAGGGAGCUUGGAGCACUGGCCCAAGCAAGAAAACAGUGGUGUUUUCAGGAGGCCCUGCUGGGAGAUGGAAGACAGCUCCCCACUGGGGGCCUAGGAUUCCAGGAGCUCCCCAGCAGUCCUCCGUGGGACAUACGUGGGUUUGCACCUGCUGCCCUGUCCCGCUGAGGGUGCGGUGCUGAUGGGGUGGCCCUGCACACUGAUGGUAACUCUCACUUUCCCUCUCUCUCAUGCAUUCAGAAAGAGAUGGAUAGUUUAAAAACGAAUACAUGGAACGUCCUGCAGACAUUCGCUUUGUCUGGGAGAAGAAUGGGCGAGCUCUGGAGACCUGUGUCCCUGUGCAGACCCAUGCACUGCCCGAUGGCAGGGCCCAUGCACUCAGCUGGCUGCAGGACGCCAUCAGGGAAAGCGCUGAGUAUCGCUGCUCUGUCCUCUCCUCAGCAGGGAACAAGACUUCGAAGGUGCAGGUUGCUGUGAUGAGACCUGAAGUGACCCACCAGGAGAGGUGGACCAGAGAGCUCUCUGCCUGGAGGGCUGUGGCUGGGGAGCACGACCGGAUGAUGCAGAGCUGGAGGAAGGCGUGGGAAAGCUGUAGCAAGGACACCCUGUAGCCACCAGGAAGGAGUCCCUGACACCGACCUCAACCCCAACAAGACCCUGCUGCCACUGACCACAGCCACCCCCGGAGAAGGCCUGGUCCCCCACAACUGUGAACUGUCUUGCCCAAGCCUGCUCUGAACACAGCCAUUGGGCCACCACCUGAUGGGCAGAGGCGGGACAGUGGAGAAGCCUGGAACCCAAGUGGGCCUGUGACAGGAACUAAGACUUAAAAAAUUAGGUGCUUACCUGGGACAGUAAGUUCUGUCUGGCACAAGCAGGUAACCAGGAUGGCUAACAGGCUUUGAUAGCUGCUCGUGAACUAAAACAGCAGGGUGUGUGCAGGUUCCUCCUCUACGGUCAGGCAGCAGGCUCUGAAGGCUGAUCCUACACCGUCCCAGUGACUCCCCUUGACAGAGUGCCCCCACCCCCUAAUAGCCAACAGGGUUAGCAUGGCCAGCACAGAUCGCUGCUUUUAUUGAUGCAAAUCAAGCCUGCUGCUUCUCCUCCCUGCAGACUUAGCCAAGGAACUCCAAGAUGCAUGACUGGGACAAGAAAAGGUGAGACUCCACAUGGAAAUGCCUUGCCCUAAACCUUGAAUGACUGUGAGAUGCGAUCUGGGAGUGCAUCUGUCAAGUCUUUGUGUUUUCUUCACUAACCUCAGAAUACUGGGCUCUAUUUUAUCAAGCGCUGCAGUUUAUGCCUCUGUCCCGUCAAUGCUCAGCUUCUGCAACAGGACACCAAACUUGAUGCAGAAAGCCAAAUAGGUCAAUUAUGCAAAUCUCCUGGUGCCAUAUUAAAUUUCUUGACGAUGG